This is a long non-coding RNA of Felis catus (domestic cat), 441 nucleotides long. RefSeq lists it as uncharacterized. NCBI's taxonomy places the organism in Eukaryota, Metazoa, Chordata, Mammalia, Carnivora, Felidae. The transcript has 2 exons. The record is from RefSeq and is a predicted model, not a curated record.
GGAGCCAAGUGGGGAGCCUCUCUCUGGGAGGCAGGUGUAACACACGUGGAGUCUGAACCCUGAAAUUCUGGCUCAGCUGAGCGAUCCUGCAGAAGCAACUUAACCUCCGUACCUCCGAUUCUGCAUCUAUAAAAUAAAGAAGGCAGCUUCUGAAGAAUUACACAGAAAUGCUCACAGCAGAGCACCACGGAGAAUGUCAAAUCAUCUGUACAGCCUAAUCCUUUUGAGUUCUAAGAAGAUGUGCAUAGAAAUCAAGAACUAAAAUAAAAUAUGCCGAAACAGUAACAGAAGCUGUCCUUGGGAUCAUGGGCCGUUUUUAUUUUCUUCUUCCUAUUUCUCUGUUCAAGCGCAGCAUACGAUCAAUUCCUGUAACAAUUGCUCUAGAGUCAUCAACGAGAACGUUUAAGCAAAAAUAAAAGCCCAGUUUCUGGUUUUCCUGAC